Molecule: ribosomal RNA, 253 nt
Filed under: uncultured bacterium
Lineage: Bacteria
Description: partial 16S ribosomal RNA
Rfam family: Bacterial small subunit ribosomal RNA
Source: RNAcentral
UACGUAGGGUGCAAGCGUUGUUCGGAAUUAUUGGGCGUAAAGCGCGUGUAGGCGGUUUACUAAGUCUGGUGUGAAAGCCCGAAGCUUAACUUCGGAAGUGCACUGGAUACUGGUAAGCUAGAGGACGGAAGAGGAAAGCGGAAUUCCUGAAGUAGGGGUGAAAUCCGUAGAUAUCAGGAGGAACAUCGGUGGCGAAGGCGGCUUUCUGGUCCGUUACUGACGCUCAGACGCGAAAGCAUGGGUAGCAAACAGG